Molecule: ribosomal RNA, 250 nt
Filed under: uncultured bacterium
Lineage: Bacteria
Description: partial 16S ribosomal RNA
Rfam family: Bacterial small subunit ribosomal RNA
Source: RNAcentral
AUCGAAGGAGUGGCGAACGGGUGAGUAAUACAUAAGCAACCUACCCACGAAGACUGGGAUAAUCUCUGGAAACGGGGACUAAUACCGGAUAGGUAAUCGGAAGGCAUCUUCUGGUUAUUAAAGGUUAAAAACACUGGUGGAUGGGCUUAUGGCGCAUUAGUUAGUUGGUGAGGUAACGGCCCACCAAGACGAUGAUGCGUAGCCGGCCCGAGAGGGUGAACGGCCACAUUGGGACUGAGACACGGCCCAG